GAUGAACGCUAGCGGCAGGCCUAAUACAUGCAAGUCGAACGGACCUUGAUCUUUCGGGAUCUUGGUUAGUGGCGCACGGGUGCGUAACGCGUAUGCAACCUACCUUCCACUGGGGGGAUAGCCCGCCGAAAAGGCGGGAUUAAUACCGCAUAUGACCACUGAGAGGGCAUCCGAUCGUGGUAAAAGCUGAGGCGGUGGAAGAUGGGCAUGCGUGCCAUUAGCUAGUUGGCGGGGUAAAGGCCCACCAAGGCGACGAUGGCUAGGGGUUCUGAGAGGAUGGUCCCCCACACUGGUACUGAGACACGGACCAGACUCCUACGGGAGGCAGCAGUAGGGAAUAUUGGGCAAUGGCCGAGAGGCUGACCCAGCCAUGCCGCGUGCAGGAAGAAGGCCUUCUGGGUUGUAAACUGCUUUUACCAAGGAAGAAAACGCCCCUGCGGGGGUAACUGACGGUACUUGGUGAAUAAGCACCGGCUAACUCCGUG
RNAcentral lists this ribosomal RNA (485 nucleotides) under uncultured bacterium. RNAcentral describes it as "bacterial SSU rRNA". It matches the Rfam family "Bacterial small subunit ribosomal RNA", at positions 28 to 507 of the family's 1533-position model. The record is from RNAcentral.